This is a long non-coding RNA of Pleuronectes platessa (European plaice), 860 nucleotides long. RefSeq lists it as uncharacterized. Lineage: Eukaryota; Metazoa; Chordata; Actinopteri; Pleuronectiformes; Pleuronectidae. The record is from RefSeq and is a predicted model, not a curated record. The transcript has 2 exons.
UUAUCACCGCACCUGGCCGCCUCACCUGGUCGCCUUUUUUUAGCUGGGUCGUGCAGCUCGCCGUUGUUUGGUAUGUAGUAGUUGUUUGCGUCUGUGUACCUUCUAAACUUUGCACAAGUCCUCAACACUGGCUUCCAUCCCUCAGGCAGUUCCGGGUCUUCCUUCUCCCGUAUCGGCCCCAAUUGUAGGGCAUGCGAGUGUUUUCCUCCUCUGCCGGUUGCAGCGGGGAGCGAUCAGCUGAUCGAUCGAGUUGCACGUAAUUGUGCUGCUCGAUGCAAGCGAUCCCCUUCCUCCCCUUUGAUGUUCAUUCAACUCCUGACGGGUUGACGUGUGUGUGGGCGGUUUCUGCCAGCACGUUUUUCCCCCCCUCUUCACGCUGCUGUUGGCCGGCUGCUGUUUUGCCCACUGGCUUAUAUAGCCAACACAUCCAUCCUACUCUGCAUCUCCUACUGUGCUGUACCUACCAUCGAGUAUGGUGACUGCUGCCUCAUCUUCAGUCUCAUCUUAAUCUAUUCAGUUAACCGACUUCUAACUGAUCUUAUUGAUGAUAUUAUUUGUGUUUUGUGGUUUGCUUUGCAUGUUUUUGGUUUAAUCCGUUUUCUUAGUUAUUUUGGUUUGGCUUAAUUGCUUUACCUAUUUAUUUGGAUUUAUCAGUUUGGAUAAAUCUCCAUUACUUUUGAUUUAAUUUCUUUGUUAGUUUUCUUUUGUUUGCAUUUAUUGAGUUUAUUUGCCCUCCCUUAUUUGUAUUUUGUGUGUGUGUGUGUGUGUUCGCUUUAGUGUGGUUGGGUGAACAUAUUUUAUUGCGAAGUCAUGUUUAAAGACUGUAUAUAUUAAUUAAAAGGAAUUGAAAUUGUAUGUUG